RNAcentral lists this long non-coding RNA (927 nucleotides) under Sorghum bicolor (sorghum). RNAcentral describes it as "long non-coding RNA (SBIC_LNC002711)". Lineage: Eukaryota; Viridiplantae; Streptophyta; Magnoliopsida; Poales; Poaceae. The record is from RNAcentral.
AAGCUGCUGUUUAUCUGUUCCUAGAGAUGCUAGAAUUCUGGAGAAUUUUAUCUUUGAAAAUCUUUAAAAUGUUGCAUGAUGAGUUCCUGUAUGAUGAGAGUUUAAAUUCCUACCACAGCCAUAUAUACAUGCUUGUUAGACUUUGAGCCACACAUUUAUUAUUUACUGCUUAUGAGCAUUGAGUGUGGUCAAGCUGUGUAGACCCUUAGGAGCUUGUCAUGUGGUUAAAUCAAGAUUUCACUUGCACGUUCACUCAUAUAUGCUACUUCUACUCCGGAAGUACCAUCCACAUAUAUCCAUUCAUUUCCAUCUCCAGAACCACCUAAAAAUAUUCUACUCCUAAUCCGGGAGAGAAUAACCAAAAAUAUUUCUAUUUUCCCCUUGUGAAAUAAAUGCUCAAGUUAUCUUGUUACUACCACUUGCUAUAUUAUCUCAAGAGAUGAGUGCUCUAAUAAAAAUAAUAAUAUAUACGAGGAAAUAAAAAGGAGCAAGUGCUCGGAACCUCGAAAGAAAAGAAAAGUGAGACGAGAGGUAAAAAUGGACAAGUGUCCGAGAGUAGAAUUAGGGGUACAAGAUACCCACCUGAGAGAAAAGAAAAAUAUAGAGCAUCUCAUUCUCCUCAUAAAGUUUCAAAAAGCAAGGAAGGUAUGUAUCCCCUCAAAAGAGCAAAAGUAGAAUUAAACUUCCACCACCAUUGUUUUCACCAUUGUUAUCACCAUCAUCACCAUACACCAUUCAUUCGCCACACAUGCACAUCUUGAUUUGGCUUAUUGAUUUGUUUCUUUGGAUCCAUGGUUUGACUAUGCAAUAAAUGUCUUGUAAGUAUGUAUACUUUAUCUCCCACCUAUGAGCUCCAGAUAUUAAAGCCUUAUUAGAGUAGGGUGAGAGAGAAGGCAAUGUCACUAUGCCUCAUACCACAAAUACUAC